GCUGGCGGCGUGCCUAACACAUGCAAGUCGAACGCUCUGCGCAAGCAGGGAGUGGCGGACGGGUGAGGAACACGUGGGUAUCUACCCAAAGGUGAGGAAUACCGGCGAGAAAUCGCCGACAAAACCGCAUACGCUUGGCAACAAGCAAAGCUCGCAAGAGCGCCAUUGGAUGAGCCUGCGGCUGAUUAGCUGGUUGGUGGGGUAAUGGCCUACCAAGGCGACGAUCAGUAUCUGGUCUGAGAGGACGAUCAGCCACACUGGGAUUGAGAACGGCCCAGACUCCUACGGGGGGCAGCAGUGAGGAAUUUUCGUCAAUGGGGGAAACCCUGAACGAGCAACGCCGCGUGCAGGAUGACGGUCUUCGGAUUGUAAACUGCUUUUCUCUGGGACGAGAACGGACGGUACCAGAGGAAUCAGCCCCGGCUAACUACGUGCCAGCAGCCGCGGUAAUACGUANGGGGCAAGCGUUGUCCGGAUUUACUGGGCGUAAAGCGCACGCAGGCGGUCUUCUACAUCUUGAGUGACAG
This 527-nucleotide ribosomal RNA is filed under the name uncultured bacterium. RNAcentral describes it as "bacterial SSU rRNA". It matches the Rfam family "Bacterial small subunit ribosomal RNA", at positions 35 to 600 of the family's 1533-position model. The record is from RNAcentral.